This is a non-coding RNA of Pogona vitticeps (central bearded dragon), 2808 nucleotides long. The record is from RefSeq and is a predicted model, not a curated record. NCBI's taxonomy places the organism in Eukaryota, Metazoa, Chordata, Lepidosauria, Squamata, Agamidae.
CAAGGCAGAGAAAAAAGGAAUAAGGGGAAAAAUGCAAAAAGGGAAAAGAAACCAACAGUGUGAAUGGAGCGACCUUCAGAAACCACAUCCUUCCUCUGAAAUAGAGAUCCUUUAUUCACCUGGGCUCAAGCACAGCUGGACAAGACACCAUUGUCAAACAUUUGCAAAGGGGCCAAAGAACUGAACAAAUUUAGAUGACAUCAAUACAAGGGCAAAAUAAAUGUCUUUUGCAUUUACAUGCACGUGAAUGCGAGAGAGCUCUGAGAAAACCAUCUUAAUUCCCAGGAGAAAGGUGAAUGAAAGAAUGAAUAAGUAAAUAAAUAAUGAAGAACAAUAAUGGUUGUGCUGAUUUCUAUAUCCCUCCGUUUGCCAGAUUCAGCUCAAUCCAAUACUGACAUGCCCUUUGCUGCAAAACUGAAGUUGGUACAAAUUGAAACAUCCAUCAUGAUGAAUUAUAAUAGAAAGCUAAAAUCUAUUGGAUUAUAGCCUCUGGCUAACAGAAGCCUAUGUUGCCCCUAAUUUGUGUACGUGCAGGACUGACUCUCAAGAUGGUAACAGAAGGACCCAGAAAGAUUAGCAGCAACAUGUCUGUUUCACCUGUUGCAACCUCUCUGGUGCCCUUGGCAAAAGCCUUUGUGCCAAUCUGAGUUGUCGAUGCCCCCACGGCUUGAAGACUUGCUCCAGCUGCCAGCCCUCCAAUCACAGUUGCAAGCUGUGUCAUCCCCUUUCAGCACUUUACCUUGAAGAGACUGAAGUGCAGAACAGACAAUAUUUGGAUGAGAGGGCGAACCACUGUUUUUCUUCCCUUCACCCAGCUGAACAGGCUACAGCUGGAGAGAGAGGAAGCAAUGCAGGGGAAAAUGGCCCAUUGAAACGUUAUCCCCACUGGGAUGGUGGGGGCUGUGAUUCCUUCACAGGGUCUCUUGUGAAACUCUAAACCAAGUGGAUGGUGGAAAGGCUGGGGGAGAAGAGAGACAGCUGCAGCCACCUCCUGGGGCUGUACCCAUGCCUCGUUCACAGCAGAAUGGUGGAAGAAAAAAGGAGGCAAACAUAUUUAGUGUGCAAAAGGAGACACAGUUGGAAGUAAUAAUGGCUAAAUAUUUUCUCCAAGUUUCUUUUCCCCAGUCGCAGGCAUGCCAGAACCUCUGGAAGCACGAAAUACUCAGGCAAAAAGGAGGACUUUGACUAACCCGCCUUAGUUCUCAGUUCUCUUAGACCAAUCUUUGAGGAGGAGAUAGGGUGGCAGCCGGGUGGGGGUGGAAGGGUCCCACCAGGAUUUGCCAUAUCCUGAGCAAGAUUCCCAGGCUCCAAAAGAGUGGCCAGUUGCUGGAUCAAUUUCAGGGAGAUGUCGGUAGUGGAGUUCACGGUGGCUUAAAUGGAACAGCAGCUAAUACAGAACAGAUGGGGGAGUGUUUUGUGCAUGAGCAAACCAAAUAGGAAUAGAAGUUCUCCCACUGCUGACUACCCAGCCCCCUCCCCCUCACUACUGGAGAAUGACACAGGUGCACACAUAAUGUGUGCAAGCAGAUAGCACAGGUGUACUCACAUGGACAAGCUCCUUCUUGUGCUCAAAUCUAUAUCUGCAUGUAUCUGAUAUGCAGAAAACAUAAGCAGAUGAAACUCAAGGGCUUGACAUAUAUUACCAUUUCUAUCCUAAAGCUGUGCCACUGCUUACUACUUGGCCAAACCACUGCCCAUCAAAAUAGAAUGCAAGAAUUAAUUUCAUUGUUGAUGCCCUUCAGAUCAGCUUCCCCUAACCUGGAUCAUCUUGAAUAGCUAAUAAUGAUUCCCAUGCCACUGCCAGGAAGAUGGGUGUUAUAGUUCAACACAUCCAGGGAAAGCCACUUAGGACGAGGUUAAACCAAAGAGGGAUGCAUUUCUGAAAAAAACCUUUUGCUCUGGAGGCUCACCUUUCAUCUCCUCUGCUAAUACUAGCUCUUUGGAAAAUUGCAAAGGACUGGAAAUCCUAUGUCUGUCCAGAGUCCUGAGAUUUGGACAUAAAGUUAUGGACACCCAGGAGCUGAGAGACAAGUCCAGCCAGCUGGCUGACCUUCCCCCCCUUAUAGCAGGAAUAGGAAUAACAAUUGCCAGUCAAUAUCAGGGAAGGACUAAACACAUGAGAAUACACAUCCAUUUCUAAAGUCCCCCUGUGCAUUCACCCAGAGGGGGGGGAACCCAUUUGUGUUGCAACUGUAACAUUUGACCUUUACAUAUUACUGAUGCAGUUGAGCCAGCUGAGACCCAAAUACUUCCAAGCCGACCUCCCAACCUUGUUUUGAACUGAAAAGACAAAAGAGACCUUUGGGAGGUGGUGACUCUUUACAGACAGACUCCAUAGAGGGUAAAGCAGGCCUUCUGAGGAGCAAAAAAACCUCCAGGCAGAGGCUGUAUUCCAAAAAAAUAAUUUAUGGUUGUGGAUAAUUCAUGUGCAUUAGAAAUAAUAUGUACAUAAAUAUUUAUCUCUAGGACUAUGUACAGGGGGCAUCAGGAGCCAGAAAGGAAGGUCCAUGCUCUGUGUUAAGAGGCCUGUCCUUGUGGCCAUGUAUCUGGAGGAUUGGCCUGAGAAAGCGGGCUGACUCCUGCCAAACAGUGAGAUUUGAUUUAAAGAAAAUAUUAAAUUGGGUAUCAAAGAAGCAGGAUGCCCCAUGGCUUGGGAGACGGGUCCCAUGGGUCAGAUUACAGGCCAAAGCCCAGAGAGAAUUCUCCUCUCCCUGGGAUAAGGUUCCUCCCUGCUUAUUUGGUCCUAUUUAUUCUCAGACAGCUGACAGCAUCCAAGGCUCAGCUAGAGCAAAAACAGCUUUGAGGGAA